CAUUCCUUCCUGCUUAGGUUUUUAAUUACAUUGCCAGUCUGGGCAAGAAUCUGCUUAACCCCCAGAAAAUGGCAGCCCUGGAUGUCAGCUCUGAUGCAAACUGCUCUCCCUGCCACAGCAUCCUGCCUCAGUUUCCCUGUCAUGUUCAUGGUGCUUCAACCUGAUAGGAAGCUGCCUGGGGAACAAACCCAUUCAUGAGAGGCUGGAGGAGGAUCAGCAGAGGGCCAUGGAGAGUUUGCUUCAAGAACAACGAAGGAAAGCUUUGGUGUUUCUGCUUUCUGUAUCCCCAAGGAUGCAUGGAAGGUGGUUGGCCAUCUAUUCAUGAGUCUCUGAGGUAUGCACAGAGAGAAACAGAGGGAUGAAGAAGUUUCCACACCCCGUUCUUGGUCUGACUGUAAAGAGUGGGCAGGAAGAUGGCGCCACAGAGAGGGAAGGCCAGGGAGACAAACGGCCGGGCUCUGUCCCCACUCCAGCUUCUCUUUGCAUGGACCCCUUCGCCUCAGCCCCAGCUCCUGCCUGCGCUGUUCCUCUCCGCCUCCACAUCCUCCAAGCUCAGAGGCCCUCAGUAACCCCGCCCUACCUGGGCCCUUCCAUCUGCUCCCCACUCCCCACUGCUGCCACCCACAAACAGACUUGUCACCCACUGGUUCACACUGGAGGUCCCUACAGCUGGGCAGAACUGAACUAAGGAACAGCAGCAGCAACAACAAGGAACAAUAGGAACAACAACUAACUAGAAAAAAGGAAGAUUUUCUUAGAGGAGUUGAGGGAGGUUAAGCGUGGGUACAGUGUUCGCUUUACAGCUAUUGUAUUAAAUUAAAUUCAUUUCAAACUAAGAAUAGUUUGCAAGGUCCCCGCAGUGACGUAGUAUUUAUUUUUCUAUAGAAAGCAAGCAGUGUGAAUGAUUUUUUUUUAAAAGCCAGGAUAAAAGAACAGUAUAAUAUGUCAGAAUACAAAGCUACAAUUUUUUUUUCCUAGAAAAAUGAAAGAUACCAAUGUAUUCAUGGAUGUUUAAAAAAACAAACAAAACUUCUCAGGAACGUGAAUGACGGUAUGAAGUGCCAGCCUUUUGUUUGAGAGCUAGGUUGGCUCCGUGAGGCAAGACAGAGUUGUGUUUACACUUUUGGCUCUGAGACACCCAAGCUGGCUGGCAUCAGAAGCCGUGCUGGCAACCCUGAUAUUUUCCAGAUAAAGAGACGGUGGUCUAAGCAGUAACUGAUGUUUACUGAGAGCCUCCUGUCUUCUGGAUCUUUGACUUUUAUUGACUCAAUUGGUUCUGCACAGAGGUGUUCCUCUCCCUGCUUCAGAGGAGCAGAGGAUGAGACGGAGAACAAGUCAGGGCCUUGGCUUGUGUUUCCCAGCAACCCAUAUGCCACGGCCGGAACUCCAGGUGGCUUCCCUCACCAUGGGCUCCAUGCUGGGGGACAACAGGCCAUUGGGUUGGGCCUCCAGGAAGGAGUGGAGAGAUGAGCCAGAGAAGGAAGACAGAGGGCUGUGCUAAGACUGUAGGUGCCCUGACUGCGCUUACUGUGACCACAGGCCACCAGGAAGCUUAGGGACAAUGCUUGUGAGGCCUUUUGAGAGGACAGUAAAGCCCCAGAGAAGCACUGUGCUUGCUGAUGCAAAGGCAGCUUGGGGGUCCUAGUCCAUCUCCUGGUUUCCACCUCCCACUGCAUCCUGCUCCCUCCAGGAUCCCUGGGGGAUGCUUGAGACCACAUUGGCUGUCUAUGGACUGCUUUUCCUGUCCAUUCAGAUCCACUGUCCUGCUUCUGCCUAACAUUUUCUAUAUUUUAUAAUAAAUAUAAUU
This is a long non-coding RNA of Cavia porcellus (domestic guinea pig), 1807 nucleotides long. RefSeq lists it as uncharacterized. The record is from RefSeq and is a predicted model, not a curated record. The transcript is spliced from 4 exons. NCBI's taxonomy places the organism in Eukaryota, Metazoa, Chordata, Mammalia, Rodentia, Caviidae.